GGAUAGAUGGCUGAGCGGUCGAAAGCGCCGGUCUUGAAAACCGGAGGACGUGAAAGCGUCCCGUGGGUUCGAAUCCCACUCUAUCCG
RNAcentral lists this transfer RNA (87 nucleotides) under Alphaproteobacteria bacterium 40-19. RNAcentral's name for it is "tRNA-Ser". It matches the Rfam family "tRNA". From Rfam's summary of the family: Transfer RNA (tRNA) molecules are approximately 80 nucleotides in length. Their secondary structure includes four short double-helical elements and three loops (D, anti-codon, and T loops). The record is from RNAcentral. Lineage: Bacteria; Pseudomonadati; Pseudomonadota; Alphaproteobacteria. RNAcentral also lists the same sequence under 1 other name.